GAAGGCCCAAGGGUUGAAACUAUGCCACUGUUGAGGAAGUGUAUACACGAGAUGGUGCUAUAUGAGAAGCUCGAGUAGAUGAUGGCUGCAAAGCCUGGAGAAUUGGUUUCAAUGCUUCGAGGGGAUGGUAGCGGCUCUGGUCAAGUGCUUUGAUGCCCAAUAGGUGGGGAAUCGCUUUCGCUGCUGUCAACCAAACCACCGACCAAUUGAG
This 211-nucleotide long non-coding RNA is filed under the name Actinidia chinensis (golden kiwifruit). RNAcentral describes it as "long non-coding RNA (ACHI_LNC007082)". The record is from RNAcentral. Lineage: Eukaryota; Viridiplantae; Streptophyta; Magnoliopsida; Ericales; Actinidiaceae.